AGGACGAACGCUGGCGGCGUGCCUAAUGCAUGCAAGUCGAGCGACGAAUAGGUGCGGGUAACCAAGCCUAUUACGGAGCGGCGAACGGGUGAGUAACACGUGAGCAACCUGCCCCGAAGACCGGGAUAGCCCAGGGAAACUUGGAUUAAUACCGGAUAUCCUCCUUUGAUCGCAUGGUCGUUGGAAGAAAUGCUUUUACGCUUCGGGAUGGGCUCGCGGCCUAUCAGCUUGUUGGUGGGUAACGGCCUACCAAGGCGUCGACGGGUAGCUGGUCUGAGAGGACGAUCAGCCACACUGGGACUGAGACACGGCCCAGACU
Molecule: ribosomal RNA, 319 nt
Filed under: uncultured soil bacterium
Lineage: Bacteria
Description: bacterial SSU rRNA
Rfam family: Bacterial small subunit ribosomal RNA
Source: RNAcentral